This 22-nucleotide small RNA is filed under the name Arabidopsis thaliana (thale cress). RNAcentral describes it as "ATSL008800". Lineage: Eukaryota; Viridiplantae; Streptophyta; Magnoliopsida; Brassicales; Brassicaceae. The record is from RNAcentral.
GUUUCUUCUUCUUCUUUUCCUU